GUUCCUGUAACGCAAUGGAUAGCGCGCGCGCGUUGGUCUUCUAAUCCAAAGGUCGUGGGUUCAAAUGCCACCUGAAAUA
This is a non-coding RNA of Trichonephila clavipes, 79 nucleotides long. Lineage: Eukaryota; Metazoa; Arthropoda; Arachnida; Araneae; Nephilidae. The record is from the annotation of a GenBank genome assembly.